CUAAUCUGUCAAAUAAUUCAUUUAAAAUUUUAUUUGGCCAAUUAACUUGAGAAACACGGUGAAUCGUUCACCGCCUCCAGAAAGCGGUGAAUGAAUCGCUGUUUUCAUCUUGUUAUAUUUUUUUCAUAAAUUGUGAGAAUUUUUGUGAGGUUGUUAAGAUUUUAUGAGGAUUACUUGAAUUUUUAUUUGAUGGUUAAAAUUGUAUAAAUAUAUUGUCAGGAUAUUUUAAGUUGUAUGAUUAUAUGUGAUUUAUUGAAAUCUAUAUGUUGUUGUUAAGAUUAUAUAUGGAAUAGAAAGAAACGGCAAAUCAUUUACCAUUUUCUUCUUUAAGAGAAAGACGGUAGAUCAUUUACCGCCUUUAAAGAAAAAGGAAAAAAAGAUAAAUGAUUCAUCAUUUUCUAAAUUCUAUUAAAGACGGUAAAUAAUUGACCGUCUCUCAAUUAUAUUUCUAACCCGACGAUGAGUUGGAUAAAAUAAGGUUAUUUGGCCAAAUAAAUUUUUUAUAAGGUUGUUUGGCCAAUUAUAAAUUUUUAACGGAUUAAAAUUAAAAAAAGUUCGAAA
RNAcentral lists this long non-coding RNA (561 nucleotides) under Ananas comosus (pineapple). RNAcentral's name for it is "long non-coding RNA (ACOM_LNC033574)". Lineage: Eukaryota; Viridiplantae; Streptophyta; Magnoliopsida; Poales; Bromeliaceae. The record is from RNAcentral.